RNAcentral lists this long non-coding RNA (7893 nucleotides) under Marmota monax (woodchuck). Lineage: Eukaryota; Metazoa; Chordata; Mammalia; Rodentia; Sciuridae. The record is from RNAcentral.
CCUGUUCCUACAGCUUACUGCUCCGCAAAAAGUUAAGUUUCCUCCCGCGAAGACUAAGUGUGGAUGUGCUAAAAGAGGUGUCCCUACGUGACCUUCUCUCCGGAGAGAGGUCGUGGAGCAGCAGAGCAGACGCUGUACUCGCCCGGACACUUGCCAUAACCCAGCAGAGUUCAGGUUUCGCUUUGACAUCUUCAUACCGCUAUUCAGUUUAUGAUCAGUGUUUCUUACAAACUCAGAGUAUUACCUUAUCAGAGCCUUCGAACCGUAUCAGAUUAGUAGUUACUGCUCAUUAGCUUCCCAGGUGACCCAGACCAGUCCCAGGAAAUGUAACAUCUGUGCCUAGUAUUAUACUUGGUAUACGGAGUUAUCAUUAAUAUUUAAGACUUUCCGUCCGGGACUGUAAGCUGCAAGGGGAGGGACACUUACAUCACCUAACUGUAAGCAAUUUAAAGCAGAGUCCUUGUGGGAAUGAAGUUGGGAAUGAAUAACAUGAGGAUAAAUUACUGAGAGGCUAAUGAGCAGUAACUACCAAUCUGAUAGGGUUCGAAUGCUCUGAUACGGUUCGAAUGCUCUGAUAAGGUAAUACACUAAAUUUGUAAGAAACACUGAACAUAAACUGAAUAGCGGUAUUAAGAUGUCAAAGCGAAGCCUAAGGUGAACCUGAACUCUGCUGGGUUAUUGCAGGUGUCCGAGCUAGUACAGCGUCUGCUCUGCUGCACCACGACUGUGCUAAGUCUCACCGAGAUGUUUGUGCCAAAUCUACUAGAAUUGUACAAGCAAAUGACCUUGUCAGGAUGAGAGUGAGGUCAUUUCGCUUACCUGUGCCAAGCAUAUAAAGCAGCAUUAUGAGUUCGAAGAAGGAAAAACAGUUUGCAACUCAGGUGUACCCUGGGCAAGAAAGGAGGUGGUGGGAAGUGAGACUGGUGAUACCAUUGCAGGAAAAAUUGGCAAGCACUGACAUAUACACAUACACACACACAAACACAAACUCACACACAUACUUUUAUUUUCCGGGUAAAAUUGAUAAACAUCAAGGAUGUAGAAUUACAUCCACAUCCAUACCGAAAAACAAGGGAAAGAUUGUUAGGGGCCAGACUGUAUGGGCAAUAACCAAACAGAUUCCAUUUUACCGUGAGACUCCAUGUCAUGUAAGAAAUGCUUCUCCCAUGGGAAAGCCCCACUUCUGCUCCCAUUAAUAGUUACCUAGCAUAACAUACUUGGCAACACAAAAUAUCAAUUCUUAUAAAACGUAAAAUUGUUCUCUUUGGUUUCCAUUUUUCAUGGGUGAUAUAGCUUGUCAGAGAUUGAUUGUCUAGAUGUUAGUAACCAUUCUCUAACUUGUACUCAACUAUGGUCAUUUUGACCCAUUUCCCUUCUGCUUGUUUGCUACUGUGCCAACCUGGAAAGUCCUGUGGGAAAUACCAGUGUACCCAUCGCAUUGUCUCGUUAACUGCCCAAUUCAGCUUCUGUACCUGCUUGCUUACAGCUACAUCAAUCCUGAUGUAGUUUUUGUCUUUGAAUAUCCUAAAAUGCUCAGGCUUGGGGCUGUUCCUUGCAGAGACAGUUAUGGGUCGGUCCUGCAGGGAGCAAUCACCAGCUUGCUGGCUAAAUAAAGUGUCUUCAAUUUGGACAAAACUGGGACUUGGUGUGUUUUCUGAGUGACCUGCCCCACAACAAGAUGACAGUGAUCUUAGACCAUUUUAAUUACAAAUUCAUUAAUUAAACCAAUGACAUAAAAUAGUGUUGUGCAAUAGCAAAAAAAAAAAAAGCCGAGUACAAAAACAUAGACACAAAUUGGUGUUUAUAAAGGCCAGAGACUGAUAUUCCUAGAAAGCAAAGAAACAGAUAAACAUUCCUCUUAAGCAAAAAGUUUAUUCAGUCAAGACAGUUGUAAAAACAAGUACUUCAGGAAUAAAGACAUUAAUGGUAAGAUCAGAAAGCACAUUGAGAUUUUAAUCCAUUCAAAUAUAAGAAAUCAAUUGUGGGAUUAUGGUUAUGGAAGAAAAAGUAAAUGCUAUCAGAAUAAUAUCAUUUAUUAUUUAAAAUAUAUAUGGGAAUUGCCAAAAUUGGAUCAUAUACUUGCAAAGCAUUAAUUCAUGUUUCUCAAUAUUUUCCAUAAUCUGUUUUCUUUGUUUUAGAAGGAUCUUUUUAAAAUCAAGAAGAAAUACUAAUCUGAUGAUUUCUAAUUCCAUUCCCGGCUUCCCUUCAGUUACUUUGUUUUUUAUAAACUCAAGUAAAUAACCCAGAAAAAGAAGAAAAUCCUUGACUAUUAUGUUGAUAAUAUUGUCCUAUUUUCUUUGUAUUUUCUGCUUAUUAGGAGAAUCUUUUCAUGUUUUUUAUUGGCCCUUGUAUUUAUCUGUGAAGUUCCUGUUUAUGUCUUUUGUUCAUUAUAUAGUAUAUGAAUCAGUUCUCUUUUUUAUUUGAUAAAAUUCAAAAUUUAUUCAUGAUAAAACAUCUGUCUACAUUAAGAGUAUAGAAUUACCUUACUCUAGUAAGGACUACAAAAUCUUACAACAAACAUCAGAAUUUUGGAAAAAUGUCCCCUUAAUAUUAGGAAUAAAACAGAUGACUGUAACUACUUCUUUCAAAAUUAUAUUUUGAAGACAUUGUUAGAAUAAUAAGAACAAGAAAUAAAAUAGGUAAUAACUGAAAAAAUUAAAAACACUUUAUUUUUACAUAUAGAAUACAUAAAUAAAUUAUAAAAAUUACCAGAGAAUUUAGCAACCCUUUUUGAGAAAAAAAAUACCAACAAAUCAGUUCCAUUUAUAUAAUGAGUAUCAUAAUAAAGCAAUUAUAACAAAACUAAAAACAUAUAUCUGGAAUAAAAAAAUAAAAGUGAUGUUUGUUUUUUUAUAGCUAAAUAAUAAAAUACUUAGACUAUAUUGAAAAACAACCAAAUAAUGAAUAUAUUUAUCAUGUUUAGUGAUUAAAGAUCUAGUAUUAUAAUAACACAUUCAAGCAAUUCUAAUAAACUUUAUAGUAGAUUGGUGUGUGUGUAGGUUUUUAUUGAUUUUUUAAAAUAAAUGUCAGCAGAAUGCAUUACAAUUCAUAUUACAUAUAAAGAACACAAUUUUUAAUACCUCUGGUUGUAUAUAAAGUAUGUUCACACCAAUUACUGUCUUCAUAUGUGUACUUUGGAUAAUGAUGUCCAUCACAUUCCACCAUCAUUGCUAACCCCUUACCCCCUCAUUCCCUCCCUUCCCUCUGCCCUAUCUAAUUUGUCUAUUCCUUCCAUACUCCCCUUCCCUACCCACUAUGAGUCAGUCACCUUAUAUCAGAGGACACAUUCAGCAUUUGUUAUUUUGGGAUUGGCUAACUUCGCUUAGCAUUAUCUUCUCCAACUCCCUCCAUUUACCUGUAAAUGUCAUGAUUUUAUUAUCUUUUAUUGCUGAGUAAUAUUAUAUUGUGUACAUAUGCCACUUUUUUUAUUCAGUCAUCUACUGAAGGAUAUCUAGUUUGGUCCCACAGUUUAGCUAUUGUGAAUUGUGCUGCUAUAAACAUUGAUUUGGCUGUGUCCCUGCAGUAUACUGUUUUUAAGUCCUUUGGAUAUAGACCGAGGGGAGGGAUAGCUGGUUCAAAUGGUGGUUCCAUUCCCAGUUUUCCAAGGACUCUCCAUACUGCUUUCCAUAUUGGGUACACCAACUUGCAGUCCCACCAGCAAUAUAUGAGUGUACCUUUUUCCCCACAUCCUUGCCUACACUUAUUGUUGUUUAUCUUCAUAAUAGCUACCAUUCUGACAGGAGUGAGAUGACAUCUUAAGAGUAGUUUUGAUUUACAUUUCUCCAAUUGCUAGAGAUGAUGAACAUUUUUUCGUACAUUUAUUGAUUGAUUGUAUAUCCUCUUCUGAGAAGUGUCUGUUAGGUCCUUGGCCCUUUUAUUCAUUGGGUUAUUUGUGGGUUUUUUGGACUUUAGCUUUUUGAGUUCUUUAUAUACUCUAGAGAAUAGUGCUCUAUCUGAUGUGUGAGGGGUAAAACUUUUCUCCCAAGAUGUAGGCUCUCUAUUUAUCUCACAGUAUCUUUUGCUGAGAAGAAACUUUUUAGUUUGAAUCCUUCCCAUUUAUUAAUUCUUGCUUUUAAUUCUUGCGCUAUAGGAGUCUUAUUAAGGAAAUUGGGGCCUACUCCGACAUGAUGAAGAUCAGGGCCUACUUUUUCUUCUAUUAGACACAGAAUCUCUGGUUUGAUUCCUAUGUCCUUGAUCUCCUUUGAAUUGAGUUUUGUGCAUGGUGAGAGAUAAGGGUUUAAUCUCAUUUUGUUGCAUAUGGAUUUCCAGUUUUCCCAGCACCAUUUGUUGAAGAGGCUAUCUUUUCUCCAAUGCAUUUUUUUUGCCACCUUUGUCUAAUAUAAGAGAAUUGUAAUUUUGUGGGUUAGUCUCUGCAUCCUCUAUUCUGUACCAUUGGUCUACCAGCCAGUCUGUUUUGGUGUCAAUACCAUGCUGUUUUUGUUACUAUUGCUGUAUAGUAUAGUUUAAGGUCUAGUAUAGUGAUGCUACCUGCUUCACUCUUCUUGCUAAGGAUUGCUUUAGCUAUUCUGAGUCUCUUAUUUUUCCAGAUGAAUUUCAUGAUUGCUUUUUCUAUUUCUAUAAAGAAUCUCAUUGGGAUUUUGAUUGGAUUGCAUUAAAUCAGUAUAGUGCUUUUGAAAGUAUGAUCAUUUUGAUAAUAUUAAUUCUGCCUAUCCAAGAGCAAGGUAUAUCUUUCCAUUUUCUAAGGUCUUCUUUGAUUUUUUUCUUUACAGUUCUGUAGUUUUCAUUGUAUAGAUCUUUCACCUCUUUUGUUAAGUUGAUUCCCAAGUAUUUUUUUUUUGAGGCUAUUGUAAAUGGGGUAGUUUUCCUCAUUUCCCUUUUGGAGGAUUUGUCACUGAUAUACAGAAAUGCCUUUGAUUUAUGGGUGUUGAUUUUGUAUCCUGCUACUUUGUUGAAUUUAUUUACUAGUUCUAGAAGUUUUCCGGUGGAGCUCUUUGGGUCUUCUACAUAUAGAAUCAUGUCAUCAGCAGAUAGUGCUAAUUUAAGUUCUUCUUUUCCUAUGUGUAUCUCUUUAAUUUCUUUCAUCUCUCUAAUUGCUCUGGCCAGUGUUUCAAGAACUAUGUUAAAUAGAAGUGGUGAAAGAAGGCAUACCAGUCUUGUUCCAGUUUUUAGAGGAAAUGCCUUCAAUUUUUCUCCAUUUAAAAUGAUAUUGGCCUGGGGAUUAGUUUAGAUAGCCUUUACAAUGUUGAGAUAUGUUCCUAUUAUCUCUAGUUUUUCUAGUGUUUUGAACAUGAAGGGCUGCUGUAUUUUGUCAAAUGUUUUUACUGCCUAUAUUGAGAUGUGGAUUAGUUCUUUUAAAUAAAUAAAUCACUAAAUCAAUAUCCCUUAUUAUAAUUUGUGAGCAUGUAAAAAAGACUGAUACCAGAAAAUUCCCAUCUUAUUCCAAAGGUUUUGGUUUCAUUUUAAUUAUAAAUUCAUUAAUUAAACCCGUGGACGAUAGAAGAGAAUACAAUAAACUAUUUUAUAAAUAAUAAAACAACUUUAGAAGCAGUAGUUGUAUUACACUUCAGUAAUAAUUUAUGAUAAACAUGUAGUUGAGGCCAACAUUCACUCUAUUAUUUUUUACCAGAAGGAAUAUCAUUUGCUUUUAGAAAGAUUAAAUUUGUAAAAAAAAAAAAAAACAAAAAAAAACCCUUCCAUUUUAUUUUCACAUUUAAAAAAAGACUAAAUUCUUUGAGACUAGAAAUAUAAGAGCAUUUCAGACUUUUAUAAAAGGCUCAUUAAAAGAUCAGGAAGAUCUUUCCUGAAAAAUGAUUUUCCCCAGAAAUGCCUGGCAAAAUCAAAAUUCGUUGUUGGAUUUUUCUAUAAAAUUUUUAACAGAUAGGUAACAGUUUGGGGGAUUGAUAUUUUUUCCUACCCAAUUAAAAUAGCACAAUUACUUUCUUGCCAUGAUUAAUUCUAAUUUUUCAUGCUACAGCUCAACCUCCAAUUGAACUGAGCUUAAAAUGAGAAUAUUUUUUAUAACCUGAUUUCUAAAAUCCAACUUAUCUGCUGAGUUCACACAUUUUCAAAAUCUAAAUAUUUUAUAUUAUCUUAGCAUAAAUAUUAACCAGAUCCUGUUUUCAUUUCCAUCCAAAUAUUUCCUGCCAUCAUUUUCACCUCCUAAAUAGUAUCUAAUCUUACACCUAUUGUCAUAAACUCUUCAUGAAAUGCUACUUAGCACCAGUAAUUUUAAGCAGGCUGAGGACUAUAAUCAUAUAUGUUUAAAAAUAUAGAAUGUAGGUUUUUAAGUCUCAGAUUAUAAAUAUCCUUUACUUUUAAGUGUAGCAGAAUUUAUAAUCAGUGAAAACAUCUCGGAGGAAUUUUGGGCUAUGUGGUGUGAAUUCUAGGUACUGUACUAAUGUCUUUAAAUUAUUUGGGGUGGUAUUUAAAUUUUUUCUUUGAAAAACAGAAGAUCCACUAGUUAUUUUUUGAAAUACAAGUGCAACAUACAUACAUCUAGAUUUAUGUAUCUUAUUUGUGCAUCUUAUUUUUAUUACCCAGAAUUUCAAGCAUCUUUUUAUACAAAUUACUUUUAAAAAUAAAAUAUAACAUGGUACCAAUAAACAGCCCUUCAUAGUGCCUUGUACUUUGUGGGUGUACAAAAUAUUGUUGAGUCAGUUUUGUAAUUGAAUUAGGCUAUUUAAAAACACCAUGUAUUUCUUGUAUAAUUUUAUUGCUUGGUCUCUUACAAAAGCAAACCCCAGCAUAAAAGCUCUAGUCUUAGUUUAGUCAAGAAAAUUUAGAUAAAAAGAAGCACUCCCCCUUGUGGUUAGUUUUUUCAAUUGCAAAUCCUUCACCUCACAAAGAAAGGAGGUAGCUAUAAAAUAGCUUUUUCAUCAUUGAUCAUUUUCUAAAAUUAAUAUGCAAUAUUAUCAUUUCAGAUGGAAGAGGAAAGCUGGCUCCAAAAAUUUUGUUUCUGCAGAAUCUAAGAUAUUCACAUCAAAAUAUGCAAGACAUUCAGAGUAGGAGAGAAAUACACCACUCAGAAGUUGUUAGCCAAUGAAAACUAAAGCUGUUUUAAAGAUCAUGCUGUAGGAUCUAGAAAGCUCCUAACACUGACUUUCUAGAGCUUUAAGAAGGAGAUUUAAGGAAAGCAAAACCUGAUAGUCUCACCAAAUGGGUUGGUCAAGCAUAAAUCUUCAUAGAAAGAGAAGAUCUACCCAACUCAGAAAUAAAUAACAGAAGAUCUGCAGCAGUUGCAGGUGAGGGAAGAGGCUGAGCCCAGACCCUUGGGAGAUAGCUCAGAAGAAGUCCUAGACUUAAAGAUGAUCAAUAAGGAAGCUAAAUGCACCUUUCACACAACUUUCAGUCGUCAAUAGAAACAGCUGAUACCUGAAUACAAGGCAAGAACACAAUCUGGAUACCUCUCCUUAAAACUAGCAAAACCUGCAGAGAUUCAAAUACCAUAGGAGACUGAGGAAGAUCUGAAUCCCCAGGUUUCUCUCAGGAUACAAUGUAGAUACUCCUGGCAUUUUAACAUUUUAUGGCCUGUUGUAAUAUAUAGACACUGUAUGUCCCCCCACCGACCUUCAUCUAUUGUAGAAAUGCAAACUACCAAACUGAUGACAUUUAAAGGUAGGCAUUUGGGAGGUAAUUAAGUCAUGAGGGUGGAUUGUUAGUGCCCUUGUAAAUGAGAACCUGAGAGCUACCUCAGUCUUUCUGCAAUACGAUGAUACAGCAAGAAGUUGUUAGUGUGUAACAUGAAAGAAGCCCCUCAACAGAACCCAGCCAUGCUGCCAGUCUGAUCUCAGAAUUCUAACCUCUAGAACUAAAUAAAUUUUUGUUAUUUAUAAGCCAACCAUUCUAUAAUUUAGUCAACUUUCCCUAUGAUUGUAUCCCCACCUGUGGAUUCUACCAACUGCUGAUUGAAAAUAUUUGGACAAAAAAUGGCUU